GCUGACUCUCUUUUCCGACUCAGCCCACCUGCAGACCCAUCUGACCUCUCCCCUCCUCGCCAGACUGAGCUAGGUCCCAAUUCUUCCUCAGCCUCUGCUCCUCCACCCUAUAAUCUUUUUAUCGCCUCCCCUCCUCACACCUGGUCGGGCUUACAGUUUCAUUCCAUGACUAGCCCUCCCCCACUUGCCCAGCAAUUUACUCUUAAAAAGGUGGCUAGAGCCAAAGGCAUAGUCAAGGUUAAUGCUCCUUUUUCUUUAUCCCAAAUCUGAUAGCGUUUAGGCUCUUUUUCAGCAAAUAUAAAAAUCCAGCCCAGUUCAUGACUUGUUUGGCAGCAACCCUGAGAUGCUUUACAGCCCUAGACCCUAAAAGGUCAAAAGGCCAUCUUAUUCUCAAAAUACAUUUUAUUACCCAAUCUGCUCCCGACAUUAAAUAAAACUCCAAAAAUUAAAUUCUGGCCCUCAACCCCACAACAGGAUUUAAUUAACCUCGCCUUCAAGGUGUACAAUAAUAGAAAAAAGUUGCAAUUCCUUGCCUCCACUGUGAGACAAACCCCAGCCACAUCUCCAGCACACAAGAACUUCCAAACGCCUGAACCGCAGCGGCCACGCGUUCCUCCAGAACCUCCUCCCACAGGAGCUUGCUAUACGUGCUGGAAAUCUGGCCACUGGGCCAAGGAAUGCCCGCAGCCCAGGAUUCCUCCUAAGCCGCGUCCCAUCUGUGUGGCACCCCACUGAAAAUUGGACUGUUCAACUCACCUGGCAGCCACUCCCAGAGCCCCUGGAACUCUGGCCCAAGCCUCUCUGACUGACUCCUUCCCAGGUCUUCUCGGCUUAGCGGCUGAAGACUGACACUGCCCAAUCGCCUCGGAAGCCCCCUAGGCCAUCACGGAUGCCGAGCUUCGGGUAACUCUCACAGUGGAAGGAGAGAUUAAUCGGGAGUGAGGUCUGCCUAAACCUGAGAUGAGAAGAAUUUGUCUCCUGAGAAUAAUGAUGGAUAUCCCUCAAGAAUUGAAGAUGGGCCAGGGUACACAGAAUGAUUACAUUUGUUCCUUGCUGUUAGGAGGAACAAGCAGAAGUUCCAUAUGCCACCUUCUUCUGCUACUGCAGCAACAAGUGAUAUUCGAGACAGUGAAGCCCCCAUCAAUUCUAGACUGAUAUGGAGCAGAGACGACCUCCUAUACACACUCCCACUACUGACCCAUGGUGGACAAGAAACCAGAAAUUUCAUUAUGUUAAGCUUCUGAGAUAUUUCUGUUUUUUCCACUGAACAUUAUUCUAAUUUAUGUGAUAUAUUUGAUUUUAGAGCUAACUUGUUCUAAAGCUUACAGUCUUUUGCUGGGCAGGGUAGCAGUUCCAGCCACUUAGUAGGCUGAAACAGGAGGAUGGCUUAAGCUCAGGAGUUUGAGACCAGCCUGGGCUAAAUAAUGAGACCCCAUCUCUUAAAAAUAUAUACAAAAUAUAUAAACAAAAAUAAAGCUUACAAUUUUUUUCAACAACAACCUUGUGUAUAGUUCAAACGGAUUUUGUACCCCAUACCUUAGUAACCUACUCAAUGUCAUAUAAGCCUUUCUACCUUUCAGAGUAUCUUCUUGUCAUUCCUUCUUAAAAUGCUCCUCCCAAAUCCUAUUCUGUCUUUUUUUACUACUUUUGAUCUGAACUGUCCAAUAUGUGACUUUGUCCAUAUGUGUCCACAUGCAACUAUUGAGCCCUUGAAAUAUGGCUAGUUCAAAACUGAGAUACACUAGACUGCUGGAGAAGGCAUUAAAGAAGUGUGCAGGGAAGCA
Molecule: long non-coding RNA, 1784 nt
Filed under: Homo sapiens (human)
Lineage: Eukaryota; Metazoa; Chordata; Mammalia; Primates; Hominidae
Description: non-protein coding lnc-OLFM4-4:5
Source: RNAcentral